Molecule: ribosomal RNA, 485 nt
Filed under: uncultured bacterium
Lineage: Bacteria
Description: bacterial SSU rRNA
Rfam family: Bacterial small subunit ribosomal RNA
Source: RNAcentral
GAUGAACGCUAGCGGCAGGCUUAACACAUGCAAGUCGAGGGGUAUUGGUUUUCGGACCAAGAGACCGGCGCACGGGUGCGUAACGCGUAUGCAAUCUACCUUUUGCAGAGGGAUAGCCCCAGAGAAAUUUGGAUUAAUACCUCAUAGUAUAGUACUUUGGCAUCAAGGAACUAUUAAAGUCACAACGGCAAAGAUGAGCAUGCGUCCCAUUAGCUAGUUGGUAAGGUAACGGCUUACCAAGGCUACGAUGGGUAGGGGUCCUGAGAGGGAGAUCCCCCACACUGGUACUGAGACACGGACCAGACUCCUACGGGAGGCAGCAGUGAGGAAUAUUGGACAAUGGGCGCAAGCCUGAUCCAGCCAUGCCGCGUGCAGGAUGACGGUCCUAUGGAUUGUAAACUGCUUUUAUACAGGAAGAAACACUCCGACGUGUCGGAGCUUGACGGUACUGUAAGAAUAAGGAUCGGCUAACUCCGUGCCAGCAG